This 30-nucleotide non-coding RNA is filed under the name Rattus norvegicus (Norway rat). The record is from RNAcentral. Lineage: Eukaryota; Metazoa; Chordata; Mammalia; Rodentia; Muridae.
UGUAAGGUUUCAUUCUUGAAGGAAAGCAGC